Non-coding RNA from Mycena rosella, 90 nucleotides. The record is from the annotation of a GenBank genome assembly. Lineage: Eukaryota; Fungi; Basidiomycota; Agaricomycetes; Agaricales; Mycenaceae.
AAGCCAUUGGCGAAGGGUAUCGCGUCCGCCGCAAAUUCAUGAAGGGUUUGAUACAUGCGGAAGGCCCGGGUUCGACUCCCGGCUGGCUCG